RNAcentral lists this ribosomal RNA (484 nucleotides) under uncultured bacterium. Its description in RNAcentral is "partial 16S ribosomal RNA". It matches the Rfam family "Bacterial small subunit ribosomal RNA", at positions 30 to 507 of the family's 1533-position model. The record is from RNAcentral.
AUUGAACGCUGGCGGCAGGCCUAACACAUGCAAGUCGAGCGGAUGAACGGAGCUUGUUCGGGGUUCUAGCGGCGGACGCGUGAGUAAUGCCCAGGAAUCUGCCUCCCUGUGUGGGAUAACGUCUUGAAACGGGUGGUAAUAACACCUAAGUCCUGCUGCUGCUAGAGGGGGGUCUUCGGACCUUUCCCGAGCAGGGGAGCCUAGGCCGGAUUUGCUAGUUGGUGGGUUUAAGGGCUACCAAGCCGACGAUUCGUAACUGGUCUGAGAGGAUGAUCAGUCACACUGGAACGGGAACACGGUCCAGACUCCUACGGGAGGCAGCAGUGGGGAAUAUUGGACAAUGGGCGAAAGCCUGAUACAGCCAUGCCGCGUGUGUUAAGAAGGUCUUCGGAUUGUAAAGCACUUUAAGUUGGGAGGAAGGGCAGUAAGUUAAUACCUUGCUGUUUUGACGUUACCAAGAGAAUAAGCACCGGCUAACUACGUG